Long non-coding RNA from Mesocricetus auratus (golden hamster), 1172 nucleotides. RefSeq lists it as uncharacterized. The transcript is spliced from 5 exons. NCBI's taxonomy places the organism in Eukaryota, Metazoa, Chordata, Mammalia, Rodentia, Cricetidae. The record is from RefSeq and is a predicted model, not a curated record.
UCUCGCUUUUUUUUCCCCCGGCUUUCCGGCUACCAGUUCGGCAGUGGAAAACUACUCAGCUCAUCUGGGUUACUUGUUUGUCUCUUUGGGGCCUUAUUGUUCCAUUGACGCUGGCCUGGCAAUCCCAGUUCUUCUACCUCUCCAGUCCUAGAAUUGCAGGAGUGAGCCACCAUGCUUGUAUCCAUCUGGAGGUUUUCCCUGCAUGCAGUGUAAGAAAUCCCUGCCUUAAUGUGUCUGGAGUGACUACGCUGCAGCAACAAGCGUCUUUGCUGAGGAAUUAAAAGGCUCUGGAAGCAGCAGCAGCUGAAAUAUGAGUGAGGAAUGAGGGACGCGAAGACAGCCACUCUCAAAUGUACAGAAGUCCCUGCCAAGAAGACUUAAAAUAUAUUGAAAGUCAUACCACCAAGAGCAUGUCUGGAUCUACAGAUACUGAAGGCAGGCAGCAAACUGGUGGUGGUCACCUCCCCUCUGCAAAGUUGGUGUCUGACAACCUUGUCUAGGGCCUGUGGCAGAGAUAUGGAGGAGUGCUUGUACCUGGAACCUAGUAAGAAGAUUUGCCAUUGGAAAAACAACUUCCCUUAACACACACUGGAGCAGUGACUGGAGGAGAGUGAGACAGCAUGUUUAGGAUUUAGCAUGACACUUGAUGUAUAAGCCUAAGUGACAACUCCGAGCACCUGUAGUAGAGAUGGGGCUGAAAUCUCAUCAUCACUCAACCGCCUUGUCAUGCUAUCAUCCUCUCGGCUCCCUGAAUCUCUUGAGACAGCUUCAACCUUACACCUUACCCUGUAACCAUAAAAGGAAAACAGAUGAUGUGCCUGGGUUGGAUGGAUCACCAGCCAGAGACAGAGGGGCAAGCAGAGGCUGCAUGGGGCUCCCCCAGGCUUCACCUACAAGGCAGAGCAAUGGACCUUAUGUCUUGCAGAUCAGAACUUCUGGGACAGUGACUGACUUGCAGUGGUUGCCCUCCUAGAAUGUCAGCAAGUGUGGAGGGGCUGGAAUUCCUCCUAUGCUCCCACUGCCCUGGGGAGCUGAAAUGGAGGCAGUGGCAACUAGGGAACUCAUGGUGGUGGUGGAAGGCAGGUCUGAGUCACAGCCUAUGGCUGACUAGACUACCUGGGAAACGUUGGGAAAGAUACUUCAGUGGUUUAAAAUAAAAACAAUCACAUUUA